CCCUGCUCCUUGGUGUUGUUCCCUGAGCCACCGACCAUAGACCGAGGGCCUUGGGACAAAGCGGUGGGUGCAGUGAGUACCUGUGGCCACCAGAGGGUGGAGCAGCCAGCUGUGUGCUCUUUCCCUUCGGGAUGGUUUCCUCUACCCAUGGGGCUGUGCUCCAUUUCUCUGCAACCCCCAGAGCUCAGUGCUUUUGAAGGUUUACUAGGUGCCAGCCCUCAGAAUUCGUGCCCCUCUUUUCCUGCAUUGGAGGCCUCCUAGCUGGAGAAAGCCAGUGAUUCCUUCUAGUCCUCAGAGCCAAACGAUGAUGGGGCCCAUUCCCCAGCUGCCUCUGCUCCUAGACCUCCUGAUGCUUACUGCAUCUCCACUUCGAGCUUUGGGUUGGGGGAGGUCGCCCUACUAUCAUCCCCAAACUCUUUUCUCCUGAGGCUGUACUCCUCUUCUGGGACCAGGACUGACAAGUGUUUGGGCAGGUGUGUUUUGGGCCAUCCACACACCUUGUCCUCCCCAGCCCUGCCUCUGAGCCUGAGUGGGCCUUGGUGUCUUCACAAACACACACACACACACACACACUGGCUCCUUUGACUGUCACAAAUAUUAUGAUUAUUGCCACCAUUUGCCAGGCCCCUGCCCGGUACUUGCCAGCCAUUAACUGAGUUAGCACUCCCAACUGCCUGGUGAUGUUGGU
This 688-nucleotide long non-coding RNA is filed under the name Marmota monax (woodchuck). Lineage: Eukaryota; Metazoa; Chordata; Mammalia; Rodentia; Sciuridae. The record is from RNAcentral.